AACGAACGCUGGCGGCAGGCUUAACACAUGUUUAGUCGAGCGCCCCGCAAGGGGAGCGGCAGACGGGGGAGUAACGCGUGGGAAUCUACCCAGCUCUACGGAACAACUCCGGGAAACUGGAGCUAAUACCGUAUACGUCCUUCGGGAGAAAGAUUUAUCGGAGUUGGAUGAGCCCGCGUUGGAUUAGCUAGUUGGUGGGGUAAUGGCCUACCAAGGCGACGAUCCAUAGCUGGUCUGAGAGGAUGAUCAGCCACACUGGGACUGAGACACGGCCCAGACUCCUACGGGAGGCAGCAGUGGGGAAUAUUGGACAAUGGGCGAAAGCCUGAUCCAGCCAUGCCGCGUGAGUGAUGAAGGCCCUAGGGUUGUAAAGCUCUUUCACCGGUGAAGAUAAUGACGGUAACCGGAGAAGAAGCCCCGGCUAACUUCGUGCCAGCAGCCGCGGUAAUACGAAGGGGGCUAGCGUUGUUCGGAUUUACUGGGCGUAAAGCGCGUGUAGGCGGGCUUGCAAGUUGGGGGUGAAAUCCCGAGGCUCAACCUCGGAACUGCCUCCAAAACUGCAAGCCUGGAGCAAGAUAGAGGCAAGUGGAAUUGCGAGUGUAGAGGUGAAAUUCGUAGAUAUUCGCAGGAACACCAGUGGCGAACGCG
RNAcentral lists this ribosomal RNA (648 nucleotides) under uncultured Alphaproteobacteria bacterium. RNAcentral's name for it is "bacterial SSU rRNA". It matches the Rfam family "Bacterial small subunit ribosomal RNA", at positions 28 to 723 of the family's 1533-position model. Lineage: Bacteria; Pseudomonadati; Pseudomonadota; Alphaproteobacteria. The record is from RNAcentral.